Molecule: non-coding RNA, 101 nt
Filed under: Durinskia baltica
Lineage: Eukaryota; Dinophyceae; Peridiniales; Kryptoperidiniaceae
Source: RNAcentral
AAAAAGUAACCCCCAGAAGAAGAAAAAAAUCACUCACAUUUUUAUAAUGCCUUCCAACAUGUUUUUGGCUUUUGUUUUUUUCCCGCUUUUCUCCGUUCUCU